GAUGAACGCUAGCUACAGGCUUAACACAUGCAAGUCGAGGGGUAACGAGAGGAAAGCUUGCUUUCCUUGUCGACGACCGGCGCACGGGUGAGUAACGCGUAUCCAACCUGCCCCCAACUAGGGAAUAACCUUGCGAAAGUAAGACUAAUACCCUAUAAUUUCCUCAGAUGUCAUCUGACGAGGAAUAAAGAUUUAUCGGUUGUAGAUGGGGAUGCGUCUGAUUAGCUUGUUGGCGGGGUAACGGCCCACCAAGGCAACGAUCAGUAGGGGUUCUUAGAGGAAGGUCCCCCACAUUGGAACUGAGACACGGUCCAAACUCCUACGGGAGGCAGCAGUGAGGAAUAUUGGUCAAUGGGCGGAAGCCUGAACCAGCCAAGUAGCGUGCAGGAUGACGGCCCUAUGGGUUGUAAACUGCUUUUAUACAGGAAUAAAGUUAGCCACGUGUGGUUAUUUGUAGGUACUGUAUGAAUAAGGACCGGCUAAUUCCGUGCCAGCAGCCGCGGUAA
RNAcentral lists this ribosomal RNA (506 nucleotides) under uncultured bacterium. RNAcentral describes it as "partial 16S ribosomal RNA". It matches the Rfam family "Bacterial small subunit ribosomal RNA", at positions 28 to 523 of the family's 1533-position model. The record is from RNAcentral.